RNAcentral lists this small nucleolar RNA (94 nucleotides) under Nannospalax galili (Upper Galilee mountains blind mole rat). Its description in RNAcentral is "Small nucleolar RNA SNORA42/SNORA80 family (ENSNGAG00000005793.1)". The record is from RNAcentral. Lineage: Eukaryota; Metazoa; Chordata; Mammalia; Rodentia; Spalacidae.
GCACAGGUUUGGAUUUAUGGCAGGCUUUUCACUCUGGGCUUCUCAUAGUGUCCCAUGGUAGAGCAAACUAGUCACUGAAACAGGCCACACAAUG